This 931-nucleotide ribosomal RNA is filed under the name uncultured bacterium. RNAcentral describes it as "bacterial SSU rRNA". It matches the Rfam family "Bacterial small subunit ribosomal RNA", at positions 8 to 916 of the family's 1533-position model. The record is from RNAcentral.
AGAGUUUGAUCCUGGCUCAGGACUAACGCUGGCGGCACGCCUAACACAUGCAAGUCGCACGAGAAACUUCGUAGCAAUACGGGGCAGUAAAGUGGCGAACGGGUGAGUAAUGCAUGGGUGACCUGUCCUCAAGAUGGGAAUAACCUCGCGAAAGCGGGGCUAAUACCCAAUGUCAUUUCGGUCUUACGGGAUCGGGAUGAAAGAUAGCUGUUACAGGCUGUUGCUUGAGGAGGGGCCCAUGUCCCAUCAGCUUGUUGGUAGGGUAACGGCCUACCAAGGCUACGACGGGUAGCUGGUCUGAGAGGACGACCAGCCACACUGGCACUGAGACACGGGCCAGACUCCUACGGGAGGCAGCAGUGAGGAAUCUUGCGCAAUGGACGAAAGUCUGACGCAGCGAUGCCGCGUGGGGGAUGAAGGCUUUCGGGUUGUAAACCCCUUUUGGUGGGAAAGAAACACCCGGAUGUUAACAGCGUCCGGGCUUGACGGUACCCACAGAAAAAGCCACGGCUAACUCUGUGCCAGCAGCCGCGGUAAGACAGAGGUGGCAAGCGUUGUCCGGAAUUACUGGGCGUAAAGAGCGCGUAGGUGGCUAGAUAAGUCCGGUGUGAAAUCCUUCGGCUUAACCGGGGAAUGGCAUCGGGGACUGUUUAGCUAGAGGACGGGAGAGGAGAGCGGAAUUCCCGGUGUAGCGGUGAAAUGCGUAGAGAUCGGGAGGAAGGCCGGUGGCGAAGGCGGCUCUCUGGAACGUCCCUGACGCUGAGGCGCGAAAGCGUGGGGAGCAAACAGGAUUAGAUACCCUGGUAGUCCACGCCCUAAACGAUGGACACUAAGUGUCGGAGGUAUUGAGCCCUCCGGUGCCGCAGCUAACGCAUUAAGUGUCCCGCCUGGGGAGUACGGCCGCAAGGUUGAAACUCAAAGGAAUUGACGG